UUUAUAAUUAUAGCGCCCGAACUCAUAAUUGGACGGAAUAGAUUAUGAGUUGACGAGGAGAGGGAUUAUCGAACUUUCGGCGGAUACCCUCAGGCUAGAGCUAUUAGCCUAUAACUAAAUUCUUAAAAGUUAGGAGCAAUCCUGAUGACAAAGGAAUUUAAGAAUAGCUAU
This 171-nucleotide non-coding RNA is filed under the name Orenia metallireducens. RNAcentral's name for it is "glmS glucosamine-6-phosphate activated ribozyme aptamer". It matches the Rfam family "glmS glucosamine-6-phosphate activated ribozyme aptamer". From Rfam's summary of the family: This entry contains a glucosamine-6-phosphate activated ribozyme that is found in the mRNA for GlmS. GlmS is an enzyme that uses fructose-6-phosphate and glutamine to generate glucosamine-6-phosphate. Lineage: Bacteria; Bacillati; Bacillota; Clostridia; Halanaerobiales; Halobacteroidaceae. The record is from Rfam by way of RNAcentral. RNAcentral also lists the same sequence under 1 other name.